AUAAACGCUGGCGGCGCACAUAAGACAUGCAAGUCGAACGGGAAUCGUUAAAAACGGAUUGACGAUUUAUCAGAUUGAAGUUUUUAACAAUGGUUCUAGUGGCGGACUGGUGAGUAACACGUAAGCAACCUGCCUAUUAGAGGGGAAUAACAGUGAGAAAUCAUUGCUAAUACCGCAUAUGCUCACAGCAGCACAUGUUGCAGCGAGGAAAGGAGUAAUCCACUAAUAGAUGGGCUUGCGUCUGAUUAGAUAGUUGGUGGGGUAACGGCCUACCAAGUCAACGAUCAGUAGCCGGACUGAGAGGUUGAACGGCCACAUUGGGACUGAGAUACGGCCCAGACUCCUACGGGAGGCAGCAGUCGGGAAUAUUGCGCAAUGGAGGAAACUCUGACGCAAGUGACGCCGCGUGCAGGAAGAAGGUUUUCGGAUUGUAAACUGCUUUAGUCAGGGAAGAUACAAGACAGUACCUGAAGAAUAAGCACCGGCUAACUAUGUGCCAGCAGCAGC
RNAcentral lists this ribosomal RNA (507 nucleotides) under uncultured bacterium. RNAcentral's name for it is "bacterial SSU rRNA". It matches the Rfam family "Bacterial small subunit ribosomal RNA", at positions 29 to 518 of the family's 1533-position model. The record is from RNAcentral.